UACGUAGGUGGCAAGCGUUGUCCGGAAUUACUGGGUGCAAAGGGCGUGUAGGCGGGGGAGCAAGUCAGAUGUGAAAGCCCAUGGCUUAACUGUGGAAUUGCAUCUGAAACUGUUCUUCUUGAGUGCUGGAGAGGAAAGUGGAAUUCCUAGUGUAGCGGUGAAAUGCGUAGAGAUUAGGAGGAACACCAGUGGCGAAGGCGGCUUCCUGGCCUGUAACUGACGCUGAGGCGCGAAAGCGUGGGGAGCAAACAGG
Molecule: ribosomal RNA, 253 nt
Filed under: uncultured bacterium
Lineage: Bacteria
Description: partial 16S ribosomal RNA
Rfam family: Bacterial small subunit ribosomal RNA
Source: RNAcentral